Molecule: microRNA precursor, 60 nt
Filed under: Echinops telfairi (small Madagascar hedgehog)
Lineage: Eukaryota; Metazoa; Chordata; Mammalia; Afrosoricida; Tenrecidae
Description: Ete-Mir-199-P2-v3_pre stem-loop
Rfam family: mir-199 microRNA precursor family
About the family: This family consists of the microRNA (miRNA) precursor mir-199 which appears to be specific to humans. Animal miRNAs are transcribed as ~70nt precursors and subsequently processed by the Dicer enzyme to give a ~22nt product.
Source: RNAcentral
CCCAGUGUUUAGACUAUCUGUUCAGGACUCCCAAUUGUACAGUAGUCUGCACAUUGGUUA